AAUAUUGGACAAUGGGGGCAACCCUGAUCCAGCCAUGCCGCGUGUGUGAAGAAGGUCUUCUGCUUGUAAAGCACUUUAAGUUGGGAGGAAGGCCUUUAGGUUAAUACCCUGAAUUUUUGACGUUACCAACAGAACCAGCACCGGCUAACUCUGUGCCGGCCGCCGCGGUAAUCCAGAGGGUGCAAGCGUUAAUCGGAAUUACUGGGGGUAAAGCGCGCGUAGGUGGUUCAGUAAGAUGGGUGUGAAAUCCCCGGGCUUAACCUGGGAACUGCUUUCAUAACUGCUGAGCUAGAGUACGGUAGAGGGUAGUGGAAUUUCCUGUGUAGCGGUGAAAUGCGUAGAUAUAGGAAGGAACACCAGUGGCGAAGGCGACUACCUGACUGAUACUGACACUGAGGUGCGAAAGCGUGGGGAGCAAAC
RNAcentral lists this ribosomal RNA (420 nucleotides) under uncultured bacterium. Its description in RNAcentral is "partial 16S ribosomal RNA". It matches the Rfam family "Bacterial small subunit ribosomal RNA", at positions 360 to 773 of the family's 1533-position model. The record is from RNAcentral.